Paramuricea clavata is the source of this 101-nucleotide non-coding RNA. NCBI's taxonomy places the organism in Eukaryota, Metazoa, Cnidaria, Anthozoa, Malacalcyonacea, Plexauridae. The record is from the annotation of a GenBank genome assembly.
AACCACAAUGCCAAUAACAACUAGUUUUUGUAGCCAAAGAGAGAACAACAUUGUUGUUCUCUUUUAGUGGCGACAAAAGCUAGUUGUUAUUUUACAUUUGU